GUAUAUAGAUGCGUUAUACGCAGAGAUUACAUUCUUAAACUGAAGCGUUUGUAAUGAAACAUAGGAAGGCUUCCAAGCAGAGAGUAAGCAAAGUCCUGAGACCUCACUUACUACUUCGCCCUUCCACCGACCUACAACAGGUGCACAGAGGUUGAAGAGUGGAUGAGCCAGGCGUGCACAUGCCCCUAGAGGCCAGCUACAACCUGUUCAGUUACUCGUUAAUGAUCCUUCCGCAGGUUCACCUACGGAAA
RNAcentral lists this unclassified non-coding RNA (251 nucleotides) under uncultured fungus. Its description in RNAcentral is "sequence contains ITS1". Lineage: Eukaryota; Fungi. The record is from RNAcentral.